RNA transcript from Capsicum annuum, 2880 nucleotides. It is a transcript of the gene named cell division protein FtsZ homolog 1, chloroplastic, with no coding region annotated. The transcript is spliced from 4 exons. The record is from RefSeq and is a predicted model, not a curated record. Lineage: Eukaryota; Viridiplantae; Streptophyta; Magnoliopsida; Solanales; Solanaceae.
AUAUUUUAUUUUCUCCAAUUUCUAAUUACAAAAAAAAAAAAUCAAACAUUCAUCUGAAAUGUGUUGCACGGCUAGGGUUUAUCGCACAGCAUCCAUAUUAGACGUUUUAUCUCACAACUAGGGUUUAUCGUAAAGCAUCAAAUUUGUUCGUUCGAAUAGAUGUGCCAUCAUCAAGCAUCGCACAGUACAGCAUCAGCCACCAAGUUCGAAAUUGGGUUCUUAAGAGGCGCGCCAGCUUUAUUCUUGGAUCAAAUUCCUUUUACAUCAAUUUAUGAGAGCCGUAAUAGACGUUGUUUGAGUUCGAAAUUGAGUGAUCGAAGGUAAAUUUUGCAUCUUUUUCUCUCUUCUCAUUUGCAUUCAAUUCUUCAUAAUUUUGAUGCUCUGUUUCCAUUUUCUCCUUAUAAUUAGUGAUUCAUAACUAGAAAAAAAUGGUACUCGAGUUGUUGAGGUCCUUUUUCUUCUUUUUUGUUAUCUCUUGAGUCAAAAAUGUAAUCUUUAGAAUUCCUUUUUCUUUGUUUUGGAGUGACUUUUUGUUUCUGAAAUGGGUCUCUAGUUGAUAAUUCGGGACUCAAGAAACAACCAUUUGCAUGUGAUUUUAUUACUUUGAUUAGCUAAUUAGUUUGUUGAAAUAGGGUGGUGAACCAGAAAGGUGGAGAUCGACAAAAGAAUUGGUCUUGAUUGUUGACUAUUCUUUUUAUUUCUGAAAUUGUUCUGUACUUGGUCAAUUUUUAUUUCUGAAAUUGUUCUGUACUUGGUCAAUUGGGUUGUUCUUGAUCUUGUUGCUUUCUCUGAUAAUUAAUUUUCUUUUUAGUUCACUUUUUUCUGAUCAAAGGGAAUAAUUGGAGUUCUUUACAGUUUUAUUGGGACCAAAGAAACAACCAUUUGCAUGUGAUUUCAUUACUUUGAUUAUUGAUUGAGAUGGUUAGGUGAACCAGAUAGGUGGAGCAGAAAACCAGUAGCCAAUAGGCGUGCAUUGUAAUUCAAGCAUUUGUACAUCCUGGAACUAUAUUUGUCAUGUAUUGUUGUUCGAUAUGUACUAAUUUUUAAAAUUUCAUCUAUGUUUCUCCUGAAAGUCCAAUUAUUUUGUUGAAAUAUCAGUUGAUUGGUACCGGACUAAUGUUCUGCUUUUUUGCCCUUGCCAAAUCUGUUUCAGGUACUUAAAACUCCCAACUCUAUUAUGCUGCUUGUUUUAAUGUGAAUUGAUUUUCCAAUGUAGCCAUAAACACUCUCUGUGGCAAAGGAAUCCUCUUGGUUCCCUAUGCACUCAAAGAAGGGGGAUGGUGUAGUCUUUUCCUGCUGCUUUUAGUUGGAGUCAUUACUUUUUAUACUGGAACUCUUUUGAAAAAUGUUUAGAAAGUUCUCCUGGUGUUGAAACCGAUCCAGAUAUCGUACAAGGUACCGUUGGAUUGCUCAGUCGAAUAUUUAUAGUUGUGAGUAUGAGAGAAUACUAACGACAUAUAUACUAAUUCUUUUUUAAUUUGUAGAACAAGAUUUACGUCUAGUUGCGAAUGUUAGAUUUGCAUUAAACGCAGAUAGCCUUGUAUACAGAACUAUAUGUAAUUGUCUCUGCUUACUAAUUCUCACUCUCUGCUUCAUUCUGGUACUGUUGUAUGUUGCCUAUACCUUGCAACGGUCUUCUUCUUUGCUGUCCUCUUGCAUAGAGUAUUUGAUUAUGAUGAGUGAUAAUUUUGGCGCCCUAUUACCAAAUAGUCACAUGGAGUUCGCUAGAAUUCAUCUAGAUUCUUAUCAAAUGUGUGCUAUCAUUUCUACCCUUGUCAUACUUCCAACGGUUUGGCUUAGAAAUUUCAGUUUGCUAUCUAUCGUUUCAGGUAUUGAUUAUUUAAGUUUACCAUAAAAUGUCUUGAAUUAGUUCAUAGAUGUUCAAUAUGUGUUAGUGUGUGUUGCAUUCUGAUGCUUGUGACUUCAUCGGUGGAGUGAUUACAUAAAUUAUCUACUUCUUGUGGGUUGGAGUGAUCAAUGACGUUGGAUAUGACCAAGUGGAACAGCUUUAAACAGUGAAAAGUUGCCCGUCACAGUUGGUCUUUAUAGUUUCUACUAUGGAAGCCAUUCAGUUUUCCCAAAUAUCUACUCAUCGAUGAAAGAACCUUCAAGAUUUCCUUCUAUUCUUCUUAUAAGCUUUAGCAUUGCCUUCUUUUCGUACCUUGGAGUAGCAGUUUGUGGAUUCCUAAUGUUUGGUGAAAACACCAAUCCACAGUUCACUAUGAAUUUGCCAGCCAAACUUGUUACUUCAAAAGUUGCAGCUUAGACAGUGGCUCGACAUCUUUAUGCUUCUUGAUAAGCUAGUUAACUCUUUUAGGGGAAUAGGAAGCCAAGGAGUCGAAGGAAGUCAUUGCAAAUUCUCUAAAAGGUUCUAAUAUGGUUUUCAUAACAGCAGGCAUGGGUGGACGCACAGGAUAUGGUGUUGAUCCAGUUAUGGCUCAAAUAGCAAAAAAAGCAGGUUAUUUAACUGUUGGUUUUCAGAAAAAUGUUGACACUCUUAUAGUAAUUCCCAAUGAUCGUCUACCAGAUAUUAUCAAUGAGCAGAAACCACUUCAAGAUGCUUUUCUUCUUGUGGAUGAUGUAUUACGUCAAGGUGUCCAAGGAAUAUCUGAUAUAAUCACUGAACAAUGCAGGUGAUCAAAUUUGAAUGGUUUGCGCCACAAUUUAACUUGGUCUAGAUUGAAGUGAAUGAUGGAGAAUUUUUGAAAUACUUUGAUAAACAUUUAAAUACAUUUGGUUUUGUGUGAAACUUAGUACAAAUCUUUAAAAUGUUGUUUUCUAAUUAGUAUGUAAACAACAUGUUUUUUUGAAGUGCAUUGCAAAUUGCAAAUCUAUGCAUUUCAAUUAUUUAUUAGUUAAUUGGUGUGUGAGAUUAUAAUA